ACCUAUUAAUGCUGCCCUAAUACUGUGUUAAUAUAAUGGAAUCAAUAUGAUUGAAGAAACUCUUAUAAUAAACUUUCAGACAAACAAUUAGCUGUCAGCUACAAGGGCUUGCUUUGUAACACUGCAGAUGUAAGAUGGGCAAAUGGCAUAUCUCCUGUUCCCAGCACUGGGAAAAACAAGAUAGCCAUGGAUAGCCAUGGUUGAUGUAUCCUGACUUUUUAAUGAUAACCACCACAAAUGCAAAAAGCUAAGUAAGUAGGUGACGCCCAAGGCAAUGCAAUGUCACUUGUAUCUGAUUCAUAUGUGGAGAAUUAAGAAAAUGUAAGAGAUGGUCUCAUUUUUUUCUAGUCUUGGAAUAACUCGUGAUUGUGUGGAAGUUACUCCAGAUCUGUGCCCCUGUGAGAAGAGAGUCAGGAUCAUCACGGAUGAUAGGUCUCGGACAGCAAAACACUGCCAAACUUUGCUCUUCCCGGGUGGUCCUGGAGCGCAGCGAUGCUGUUCAGUAGAAACCGGAAGGCCCAACAGCUCUACUUGGGGUGGAAAAAUAACCCAAAGGAGAUGGAGCGGGUGCACGGAGGAGUCGGUCACCUGCAAACGCUGGGCCAAUACAAGUUACUCCGCGGUAGAGUUUUUACACCAGCGCUGGAUCCAAAUUUUGGCAUUCUCUCCGCGCUUCUUCAGUUUUAAUGUCCCGCUGCCUCUCUCUGCCUUGGGCACAGCCGACCCAGCCAGCAGAAACCACAGCACAUCUCUCGGACAAGGUCAUGCCAGUGCUUACGGACCGUAACAGAGGACCCAAAGCAAGUUCCCAACACGCCUGCGAUAUCCUGGCCCCGCACAAGCGGCCCUCCGAGGGCACCCAAAGCCCCGAGCAGCGCACGGCACCCGCAGGGACACCUCUUCGCACAAGUAGGGCAGCGCGAGGUGCCGGGAGCUGAGCCCCUUCGGGCAGGCAGCCCGGGGUGCCUAACGAAAUAAUUACCUUUGGUUUUUUUUUAAUUGGAAAGAUGACUGAAGAAUUUUACAACUGCUUCAUCCAAAUGAAUCUCCCAAGAAAUGCAGGCAGCUUCCUGCCCACUCCGUAUGUUUACUUAUGCGCUCUGGGUAUUUGACAGUUAGGAAGAAAUGUGGGUGGAAUGAAUUUUUUGGAGCAUACUGGCUUUUUAAUAAAACAAACUGUUUUUGAGAUAAUC
Dromaius novaehollandiae (emu) is the source of this 1193-nucleotide long non-coding RNA. RefSeq lists it as uncharacterized. The transcript is spliced from 3 exons. The record is from RefSeq and is a predicted model, not a curated record. Lineage: Eukaryota; Metazoa; Chordata; Aves; Casuariiformes; Dromaiidae.